This 67-nucleotide transfer RNA is filed under the name Opatrum subaratum. RNAcentral describes it as "tRNA-Trp". Lineage: Eukaryota; Metazoa; Arthropoda; Insecta; Coleoptera; Tenebrionidae. The record is from RNAcentral.
AAGGAUUUAAGUUAAGAAAACUAACAACCUUCAAAGUUGUAAAUAGAAGACGGUUCUAAGCCUUGCC